GGGUAUUAUGUAUUCUGGUCUGUUUGUCCGUCUGUCCCGUUUCAGGUUAAAGUUUUUGGUCAAGGUAUUUUUUGUUGAAAUUGCAGUCCAAUCAAUUCGAAAUAUUGUUCACAUGUUCCCUAUGAUAUGAUCUUUCUAGUUUUAAUGCCAAAUUAGAUGUUUGAUCCCAAUUUCACGGUCCACUGAACAUACAUGUAGAAAAUGAUAGUGUGAGUGAGGCAUCAAUGUACUAUGGACACAUUCUUGUUAGAUUUAUAUUGUUUAGUUGCUUCAUUACUGAUGUAUUAUAUCAUUUAACCCAUAAUUGAUUUUUUUUUAUAUUUUUAUAUGGUUAUUGCCUGUCCUUCUUGUGCCCUGUGAACACACACAAUCAUGCACAUAAAAAAACCUCAUAUACAUUUUUGAAAGUCAUUUGAUACAUAUGAAUUAUUUCAAUUGAGUAUUUGUU
This 448-nucleotide long non-coding RNA is filed under the name Mytilus galloprovincialis (Mediterranean mussel). The record is from RNAcentral. Lineage: Eukaryota; Metazoa; Mollusca; Bivalvia; Mytilida; Mytilidae.